CGUGGGUAACCUACCCAUCAGAGGGGGAUAACACUUGGAAACAGGUGCUAAUACCGCAUAACAGUUUAUGCCGCAUGGCAUAAGAGUGAAAGGCGCUUUCGGGUGUCGCUGAUGGAUGGACCCGCGGUGCAUUAGCUAGUUGGUGAGGUAACGGCUCACCAAGGCCACGAUGCAUAGCCGACCUAAGAGGGUGAUCGGCCACACUGGGACUGAGACACGGCCCAG
This 225-nucleotide ribosomal RNA is filed under the name uncultured bacterium. RNAcentral describes it as "partial 16S ribosomal RNA". It matches the Rfam family "Bacterial small subunit ribosomal RNA", at positions 116 to 334 of the family's 1533-position model. The record is from RNAcentral.